RNAcentral lists this RNase P RNA (371 nucleotides) under pig gut metagenome. RNAcentral's name for it is "Bacterial RNase P class A". It matches the Rfam family "Bacterial RNase P class A". Rfam says of the family: Ribonuclease P (RNase P) is a ubiquitous endoribonuclease, found in archaea, bacteria and eukarya as well as chloroplasts and mitochondria. Its best characterised activity is the generation of mature 5'-ends of tRNAs by cleaving the 5'-leader elements of precursor-tRNAs. The record is from RNAcentral.
GAGUCGGCCGGGUGAUCGCGGUGGGAAACCACUGAGGAAAGUCCGGACUCCACACGGCAGGGUGGUGGGUAACACCCACCCGGGGUGACCCGCGGGACAGUGCCACAGAGAACAGACCGCCUCCUCGCGGAGGUAAGGGUGAAACGGUGGUGCAAGAGACCACCAGCACCUCAGGUGACUGGGGUGGCUAGGCAAACCCCACCCGGAGCAAGACCAAGAGGAUCCGCCUCGGCGGAUCUGCGGCAACGAUUGAGGGCUGCCCGCCCGAGUUGCCGGGUAGGUCGCACCAGGCCGUUGGCAACAACGGUCGCAGAUGGAUGAUCACCGGGCACUUCGGUGCUCACAGAAUCCGGCUUACGCGCCGACUCGUC